Molecule: ribosomal RNA, 483 nt
Filed under: uncultured bacterium
Lineage: Bacteria
Description: partial 16S ribosomal RNA
Rfam family: Bacterial small subunit ribosomal RNA
Source: RNAcentral
GAUGAACGCUGGCGGCGUGCCUAACACAUGCAAGUCGAACGGAGUCGUUUUGGAAAUCUCUUCGGAGAUGGAAUUCUCGACUUAGUGGCGGACGGGUGAGUAACGCGUGAGCAAUCUGCCUUUAAGAGGGGGAUAACAGUCGGAAACGGCUGCUAAUACCGCAUAAAGCAUUAAAUUCGCAUGUUUUUGAUGCCAAAGGAGCAAUCCGCUUUUAGAUGAGCUCGCGUCUGAUUAGCUAGUUGGCGGGGUAACGGCCCACCAAGGCGACGAUCAGUAGCCGGACUGAGAGGUUGAACGGCCACAGUGGGACUGAGACACGGCCCAGACUCCUACGGGAGGCAGCAGUGGGGAAUAUUGCGCAAUGGGGGAAACCCUGACGCAGCAACGCCGCGUGAUUGAAGAAGGCCUUCGGGUUGUAAAGAUCUUUAAUCAGGGACGAAACAAAUGACGGUACCUGAAGAAUAAGCGCCGGCUAACUACGUG